Long non-coding RNA from Lycium ferocissimum, 470 nucleotides. RefSeq lists it as uncharacterized. NCBI's taxonomy places the organism in Eukaryota, Viridiplantae, Streptophyta, Magnoliopsida, Solanales, Solanaceae. The record is from RefSeq and is a predicted model, not a curated record. The transcript is spliced from 2 exons.
UAAUCAUAGGCAAUUUUUCCACGAUAUCGUCAAAUUUUCCGGGUAGGUUUUCUGCUACAUAAGCUAUCUCAUCAAUCUUAUCAAACAAUCUGGAUGACGGUGGAAACAACUUUUCUAUCACAAUUUCUGACGCAAUGUCGAUUAUAGCAAAUAUGGAAGCUACACAAGUGUAUAAUGGACGGCGUCUUGGCAUUUUUCUGCUUGCUGAAUUUGAUCCCUGAAAUUUUGAAAUUAAAAGAGGUUUUAAGUGAUUUUGGACAUGGCUAAAUUGAGAAUAAAAGAAUGAAAUAGCCAAGAUUUGUGAAAAGAGAUGCAUAUCACAGUAUGUACCUUGGACGCAAGUGUAUAAUGGACAAUUCUUUCAGCAAUCCUCCAAACAAAAUUGAGAAUUUUCAUGGUUACACGUUACUUUUGUGUUUUUUUUUUUUUUUUUUUUUUUUUUUUUUGGUGAAUUAAAAUUAUGAAUACUU